Long non-coding RNA from Numida meleagris (helmeted guineafowl), 3385 nucleotides. RefSeq lists it as uncharacterized. The transcript is spliced from 3 exons. The record is from RefSeq and is a predicted model, not a curated record. Lineage: Eukaryota; Metazoa; Chordata; Aves; Galliformes; Numididae.
CAGAACAAGCCAAAUGAUUAUUUCAUAAGCCAAUACAAAUUGUUCUCAUGAAACAGGUAUGAUCUGACCUAGCCUGGAGAAUUAAUUUCCACUGAGCUAACUCCUGGUAAACAGUCCAAUCUCUUUCUCUGGACUGUGCAAAUGAGGAGAAGGAAAGAUAGAAGGGGAAGGAGGGCUGCUCUGGGGAAGUCAGUGGUGUGGGCUUGUAAGGAAUGACAGGGAGAAGGAUUGGAAGGGGGGACAAAGUGUUUUGUCAUGGCUGGGAGCUUGGUGGAGCAAGAUAGGAUAGGGCAAGCUUGUCAAGGGAAGAACACUGUGAGCAGUAUGUGCUUUUUUAUAAUAGUGAUUUUCCUUCAGCCAUAGCAGUGCUAGAAGAAUCAUAGGUGAAGAAGGCAGCCCAAAAGGGAUUGUGAUCCUCCCAAGCAGCCCAGGUGAUCUCUAUUACGUAGUUAAGGGUUGGCAUUACCUCUCACUGCCCCAUUACUACCAUGGGGCAGUGAGAGCCCCAUGAUAUCUAGUCUGAGACUGUAUGAUGUAUGUUUACCCUAUGUGCAUCACAGAGGUAGUCUACAAGUCUAAGGUGACAUGGUUCACUCUAAGGAAUCUAGAGCUGGUCUGCACGUUCUGUGACUACACAAGGGGUAGAAGCUGCUUGCCAGAGCCCUGCGUCUAAGAGUGAAGGAGACCAGACAGUACUGAGAAGACGGGGACUGUAAAAUUAGUGUGGAGUGGAUGCUGGGGAAGAACUCCAGGAAAAGAAACGGCCUGGAAAGAAGCAUGACAGAAAAAGACCGAGAGAGCAAGCAGAAGACUAGGGCACAAUGCUGGUAAACAUUUGGGUUCCUCAGGCUGGCCCAGAACAAUGGCUGGAAGAUGGGUGGACCAGAGAAGGAUUUAAGGCCAAGCUCUGACUUGCAAACAAAAUUCAUGUUUGGAUUUGACCCUGCUGAUUGUCAUGGGUGUUGCUGAGUUUACAGUUUUCCUGACUGGGGGAGGAACACGCAGGGACAAGAGCAGCAGGGUCAGGUGUGGCUGCUCACUUCAGGCUUGGUGUUUUCCUCUCCGUGGUCUUUUCUCACUCUGGGAAAGUCCACUGUUGCUACAGAAUCAUUUAGCAUCAUUUUCCAUCUAACUUUUGUUCAUACACCAGAGGAUGGAAAAUUUGCAGUAAGUCAGAGGGACUUUGACAUUGGAGUUCAUUAAAGAUAAUUAAUACUUGGAAUCACUUACAUGCUUAUUUUUAUUUUGUUGAAAUAUGUUGCUUAUCCUGGGACAUGCCCAGGUACAUAUAUCAGAAAGGUUCUACUGUGUUUCUUUGUUUUAGUGGCAGGAACUGUAGUAUUAUCUCAAAUUUUACUUUCUACUGCAAAAGGUAUUGGGAGAGAAAAUUCCUUUCCUUCCAGUGCCAUUUUGUUUGUUAGGGUUGCCAGAAGCACAAACAUUGCUGCUACUACUGCAUCUUCUCCUUAGGCCAUCUGCUUUUAAAAAAGUAUUAUUACUUUUAUUUUAACAACACUGUUUUGAAUACGAAUGCUCAAAGCCUGUUCUCAGGUGCUGCAACAUACUCUUGCUUUGGGACAGCGAACAGCUUCAGCAUCAUGUUUACAAACAGAUCCUGAUGUUCACACAGAGCUCUGCUGCACAGCUGUGAUGCAAAAACCUGGCACAGACACACUACAGUAGCACGUGGCAAGUCACAGUAUUUGACACCAGCAUGGUGGCCCGAGGAUUUGCAGUGUGACCACAAACCCACCUCUAGUCAAACAUCAUGGAGAGGUGAAGCAGAGACUGGUCAGGGCAGAAAGUUCAGUGAUGAUGGCAGUAAGGAAACUCAGAGAAGGGGAGCACGUGCAGGAGGCAAAGACUUACUGGAGGAUUUCAAAGAACGUAAGAGAAAAUGUGGCAGGCUGGGAUAGUGACUAUUUGAUAAUAGAAAUAAGAAUAAGCAAUAAGAAUGAAAAACUGGAAGGGAUCAGACAGACAAACUAUUGGGGAUCCUUCACUGGUUUCAAGUGGAAGAAGUGUCAUGGCCAAAAUGGAGGAGGAGAAAAGCCAUGCAAAAAACGAAACUGGAAAGGUUUUAUAUCAGGGCUGCAAAGAUCUGGGGCAAAUCCAUCCUUAGUGGAGAGGCAGAUGUACAUAGAAGAGAAAGAAAAGCCAGUGAGAUCAGUGAGCAGAAAUGAUGGUAUCCCGUGCAGUCAUGGCCACGGAUGUAUCCAGGGUAGUUUUAAAUUAGUGCCAGUGCUGCUGCAUGGGUAGUAACACCACUGUCAGUGGUGUAGCUGUGGUAGCAAGGGCUGCCAGCAGUCCUGGAGGUAGGCCAGUGAGCUGCAUCUCCAUGAGCUGAAGAAAUCUUUCCAGGAAGACAACCAGAACCACUCAGGGAGGCAGCAGCAGAACGGAAUCACAGCAAAGCUAUUUUUUGUUCAUAGUGGAUCAGAUGCAUUACUUAAUUCCCAUAUUUACAUUUUUCUCAUGGUCCUGGCCCCUCUAACCCACAGACACUGUUCCCCCAUGCUGGCCCAGUAUUGCAGCAUCUGUAUCACCAGUACCAGCCUGUGGUACGGGUGCCCUAAGGGCUUCCAGGUGGUCUGUGAAUGAGAGCUUUUCCCCUCUGUUGGGCUUCAGCGCUCACAGGGUGACGGUUGGAAUAACCUCUCCCUCCACAAUGAAAAUGAAAUGAAAGAGCCCUCCACCUCCUUCUUACAAGCAGAGUCCUGGCCUAUUAACCAGGAUGGCUGGAAGGGGGGUGCAAAGCAGGGGAGAAACAUAUCUUUGUGUCUGCUUGACAACUUUGUAAGAGGCAAUGUUACCAUGGCAAUGGGUGGUCUUUAGUGAGAAGGGGAGUGAGCUAUAGUGUCAGGGUGAGGAGAAGGGGGAGCAAUGCUAAAGGGAGGCAGCUUGAAAGUAGAGGGGAAAAGGGGGAGCAGGGACUGCACAGCAGUCAUCAGUGGGUGAUGAUCAGAGAAGGACAUUCAACAAAGGGCAGGUGGCUCUGACAGCAAGCCUGGGGGGUGGCAUGGCUUCUUUGAACACAGGCUCUCUCCCAAGCUGCUACAAGAUGGGCACCUCUGGGAGGGACUGCAUCUUUCAGAGGCGUCAUUGCCUCUGGGCAACAGGGUACCACGCUGAGCCCCUGAAACUUCUGCCUGGCCUGAAAGCCACCACCUAGACGUAAGCAGGCUGCUCGCAUCCAUCCUACUCCCAAGUCCUUCUGCAUGUUAGAGGAAGCCUCAUGCCCAUCCCAAGACGACCACACACCAUGGCCACCACAGAACGGUUGGUUGGCAACAGAAACCAGUAGUCUGGGUUGGAGCCAGAGAGAUACUCCAGCACUGCAGGAAAACACUGCUGAAAGGCCAGCACCACAUGGGAAAGGUCUCCU